GUAUUAUUGAUCGCGUGCGACCGCGAAAAUAAACAUUCUACACUGUAUCGAGUUUUGUGUAAAGACGCGGGCCCUCCGGCAAAGGGGGACCCACGCGGUGAUGCACAAAGGGUGAGAUGGAUUAUUAUGUGAGGAAACACACCCGGGCGUGCACGACAUUGAGUCAGCGACAGCCCUUGCAUGCCCCUCACAUUUUGUACGAUAAUGAUCCUUCCGCAGGUUCACCUACGGAAA
This 234-nucleotide unclassified non-coding RNA is filed under the name uncultured fungus. RNAcentral's name for it is "sequence contains ITS1". Lineage: Eukaryota; Fungi. The record is from RNAcentral.